CCUACGGGCUGCACCAGUGAGGAAUAUUGGUCAAUGGGCGCAAGCCUGAACCAGCCAUGCCGCGUGCAGGAUGACGGUCCUAUGGAUUGUAAACUGCUUUUGUACGAGAAGAAACACUCCUUCGUGAAGGAGCUUGACGGUAUCGUAAGAAUAAGGAUCGGCUAACUCCGUGCCAGCAGCCGCGGUAAUACGGAGGAUCCAAGCGUUAUCCGGAAUCAUUGGGUUUAAAGGGUCCGUAGGCGGUCUGGUAAGUCAGUGGUGAAAGCCCAUCGCUCAACGGUGGAACGGCCAUUGAUACUGCUGGACUUGAAUUAUUAGGAAGUAACUAGAAUAUGUAGUGUAGCGGUGAAAUGCUUAGAGAUUACAUGGAGUACCAAUUGCGAAGGCAGGUUACUACUAAUGGAUUGACGCUGUUGGACGAAAGCGUGGGUAGCGAACAGGAUUAGAUACCCGCGUAGUC
Molecule: ribosomal RNA, 460 nt
Filed under: uncultured bacterium
Lineage: Bacteria
Description: bacterial SSU rRNA
Rfam family: Bacterial small subunit ribosomal RNA
Source: RNAcentral